AUGGCAGGUACAGGCAUUUGGCUCUUCACAUGUCAUCACUCCAUGCAGCACACUCAGAACUCACAGCCAUCAUUCCUUACCGACCACAGUGCAUUCAAUACACCAUGCCUCAUGCCUGUGCCACCUGGGUGCGCUCUCCUGACGGGCCCUGCACCCCUCAUUCUCCAGCCCUAGUCCCCGGCAGUGACCUCCCCAAUCCUGGGGUCCAUCCGGAGCUUCACUCUAGUGCCAGCGGCAAUCGGCAACCUGAUAACCAAUGUAAUGCAUGCCUGCUCCUGACGAGCGACCAACAGUCGCGAAACGCGUAGAGCUCUAUAUCUCAUGCAUUAAUGUAUUAUCACUGCAGUGCCAUGUGAUGUAAUUUCCAUUUUAAAUAUGCGAUAUCUAUUUUAUGUCUCAAAAAUAUAGUACAGCUUGAUGUACUCAUUGCAUUUAUAUAUUUGGGUCACUGCCCACGUACCUUGUCCCCCAACUAAUCUGUGAAACAUAUAUGUUUAUCUAUUUCUUCAAUAGUGCAAUAUAGUCAUGGACGGUGCAUUAUGUGAAAGUAAUAAAAUAUUUA
Molecule: long non-coding RNA, 562 nt
Organism: Rana temporaria (common frog)
Lineage: Eukaryota; Metazoa; Chordata; Amphibia; Anura; Ranidae
Exons: 3
Source: RefSeq, a predicted model, not a curated record